UGCUCGGUCGUGCCCCCAGUCC
This 22-nucleotide unclassified non-coding RNA is filed under the name Mus musculus (house mouse). RNAcentral describes it as "oocyte_clustered_small_RNA10304". The record is from RNAcentral. Lineage: Eukaryota; Metazoa; Chordata; Mammalia; Rodentia; Muridae.